RNAcentral lists this ribosomal RNA (392 nucleotides) under uncultured bacterium. Its description in RNAcentral is "partial 16S ribosomal RNA". It matches the Rfam family "Bacterial small subunit ribosomal RNA", at positions 338 to 727 of the family's 1533-position model. The record is from RNAcentral.
CCUACGGGUGGCAGCAGUGAGGAAUAUUGGUCAAUGGUCGCGAGACUGAACCAGCCAAGUCGCGUGAAGGAUGAAGGCACUGAGGAUCGUAAACCUCUUUUGUAAAGGAAUAAAGGAGGGCACGUGUCCCUUGUUGUAUGUACUUGAAGAAUAAGGAUCGGCUAACUCCGUGCCAGCAGCCGCGGUAAUACGGAGGAUCCGAGCGUUAUCCGGAUUUAUUGGGUUUAAAGGGAGCGCAGAUGGGUUGGUAAGUCAGUUGUGAAAGGUUGCGGCUCAACCGUCAACUGGCGAGUGAUACUGGCAGCCUCGAGUAGAGUUGAGGUAUGCGGAAUUCGCGGUGUAGCGGUGAAAUGCUUAGAUAUCACGAAGAACUCCGAUUGCGAAGGCAGCCU